GGUUGACGGAGCCCGGGUUCUUGAUGUCCUGCCACCGCCGGAUCUCGACGUAGUGGAAGAGGAUGAACUCGAUGACGAAGAGCGUGGAGGAGGAGGCGAAGUAGGUCUCCUUGCCGGCGUCGUACCACUCGGGCGCGUUCAGCAGCCCCGCCUUGGUCAGCACCUCCGGGAUCAGCAUCCCCGCCACCCCCAGCAUCGCCCACCGCCCGUUCACCAGCUCCGCCUGCACGAACCACCGCAGGUCCUCCGGGUCCUCCGCCAGCGCCAGCGGGUCAAAACCAUUGUCACCCGCCAGACUGCACACGUAUCGUCCGUCAGUACGGUCGUAAACAUAUGUAACAGCUGCGUGCAUGGGCACGACGGAAGUGGUGUGGCGUGUCGUGUGGUCUGCUCACCUGCCGUCGAGGUAGGCAGGGGACUGGAGGCCGGGGAGCCAGGACCCCUUGGCCUGGACGGCGACGUCGCGGCGGGUGGACUUGGCGAGCCCGACGCGGCCGGAGUCGCCCAGGAACCGGGGGCUCGACGCUGACGCCGCCGGCCGGAGAGCGGCCACGGGAGCGCGGGCACUGACCGACGACAUCUUCUGCUACUCCUGACUAGAGAGCGCGUACGGCAGGAGAGUGAGAGUGCGCGCGUGUGUGUGUGGUGGUUCUGCCUCUCCGCACCUGCGCUUGGCCCUUUGUAUUGGGCUGCGCUUCGGUGAUUUGUGGGUGUGGUGAGCUGGGCCCCGGAGGUCGAGAUGGACGGCGUGUGUUGGCGCCACCGCGUCGUCCGACGGCUGCGAUGCGUUUGCGCCUGGAGACUGGAUAGAUGGACCAGUGGGAGACCGGGAGGCGUAUGUGCGUUAUCUGGAUGAUGGAUAAUGCGGAAUCAAAAGGGGGAUCGCUAUUGGUCGGGGAAACGCACGUUCGGUUUACCUGGCUGCCACGUCGAUCGGACGAUCCGUCAUGAUGUACAGCUGUACAUGGUGCCAUGGCGGGUUGGUCUGUUUGCUUCAACUUUCGAGCUCUUCCACGGGAAACCGGCUUUCGCCCUAGAAAUGGCACGGAUGGUCGAACGGAUACAAGGUGAUGGAAAGAACCCCAUAGAAGGCGGUCGCGGCGAGCCGUCACGAUCCCGUAAUCGAACAAGAAAAUAAGAGUCGCCACACCUAACAUGAGGCGACCUAGACUAUUGAAUCGGAACUCAACCGUGCCGCCUAGGAAAAUCAUAGACCAUUAUGCAUAAAACACAUCAAGUUAUCGCCGGAGAAAGUAAGUGUCGAUCCAAUCCGUGGAGUUCCAAUCCUGCGAGCAGAUAGCGAGGACCAAUGACAUUGACUACGAGGACACGUGUAAAUGAUAGGGGAUCAACGGAUCCACUCCACGACGAAGCCGAAGGCACCGAUGUGCUGUAACUGGAUGAUAUUUGUGUUCCCCGACAAUGCCCCGAGGAGGGUAAUGAUGUAGAGCGUUGAUACGUCUCCAACGUAUUUAUGGUGUUUUUAUUGUGUCAUGCUAUUAUAUUAUCAAUUUCGGAUGCUUUAUAUGCUAUUUUAUAUCAUUUUUAAGAACUAACCUAUUAACCGAGUGUCCAGUGUCAGUUCCUAUUUUUUGCGUGUUUUGACUUCUCAGAAAAUCAAUAACAAACGAAGUUCAAACAUGAUGAAACUUUAUGAUGAUUCUUUCUGGACCAAAAAGGGACCCCUAGAAGGUUCGGGAGGAGGCCAGAAGACGUAGGGAGAGCCACAAGCUCACAGGGUGCGCCCCCCCCCCCCCGGGGGNNNNNNNNNNNNNNNNNNNNNNNNNNNNNNNNNNNNNNNNNNNNNNNNNNNNNNNNNNNNNNNNNNNNNNNNNNNNNNNNNNNNNNNNNNNNNNNNNNNNGACGUCUAACUUGUUUUUGCAGGGUAUGAUUGUGAUGUGAUAUGGCCAAUGAUGUGAUGUGAUAUAUUGGAUGUAUGAGAUGAUCAUGUUGUAAUAGAAAUAUCGACUUGCACGUCGAUGGUACGGCAACCGGCAGGAGCCAUAGGGUUGUCUUUAUACUAACGUUUGUGCUUGCAGAUGCGUUUACUAUUUUGCUAGGAUGUAGCUUUAGUAGUAAUAGCAUAAGUAGCACGACAACCCCGAUGUCAACAUGUUGAUGGAUGAUCAUGGUGUGGCGCCGGUGACAAGAAGAUCGUGCCGGUGCUUUGGUGAUGGAGAUCAAGNNNNNNNNNNCUUGCAGAUGCGUUUACUAUAUUGCUAGGACGUAGCUUUAGUAGUAAUAGCAUGCGUAGCACGACAACCCCGAUGGCGACACGUUGAUGGAGAUCAUGAUGAUGGAGAUCAUGGUGUGACGCCGGUGACAAGAAGAUCGUGCCGGUGCUUUGGUGAUGGAGAUCAAGAAGCACGUGAUGAUGGCCAUAUCAUGUCACUUAUGAAUUGCAUGUGAUGUUAAUCCUUUUUGCACCUUAUCUUUCUUAGAACGACGGUAGCAUUAUGAGGUGAUCUCUCACUAAAAUUUCAAGACGAAAUUGUGUUCUCCCCGACUGUGCACCGUUGCGACAGUUCUUCGUUUCGAGACACCAGGUGAUGAUCGGGUGUGAUAGACUCAACGUUCACAUACAACGGGUGCAANNNNNNNNNNUGAAAUUGUGUUCUCCCCGACUGUGCACCGUUGCUACAGUUCGUCAUUUCGAGACACCACGUGAUGAUCGGUGUGAUAGACUCAACGUUCACAUACGACGGGUGCAAAACAGUUGCGCACGCGGAACACUCGGGUUAAGCUUGACGAGCCUAGCAUGUGCAGACAUGGCCUCGGAACACAUGAGACCGAAAGGUCGAUCAUGAAUCAUAUAGAUGAUGUGAUUAGCAUAGGGAUGCUUACCACUGAAACUAUACUCAACUCACGUGAUGAUCGGACUUGAGAUAGUGUAGGUGGAUCAUGAACCACUCAAAUGACUAGAGAGAUGUAAUUUUUGAGUGGGAGUUUAGCAGAUAAUUUGAUUAAGUUGAACUCUAAUUAUCUUCAACAUAGUCUAAGUCCACUUUGAAUAUAUUUGUGUUGUAGAUCAUGGCUGACGCAAGUGUCAUCCUGAAUUUUAAUACGUUCCUAGAGAAAGCUAAGUUGAAAGAUGAUGGAAGCAACUUUGUAGACUGGGCUCGUAAUCUUAAGCUAAUCUUACAAGCUGGGAAGAAGGAUUAUGUCCUUGAUGCUGCGCUAGGAGAUGAACCACCCGCUACGGCUGAUCAGGAUGUUAAGAACGCUUGGUUAGCGCGUAAGGAGGACUACUCAAUAGUUCAAUGUGCAGUCUUGUAUGGCUUAGAACCGGGACUUCAACGUCGCUUUGAGCGUCAUGGAGCAUUUGAGAUGUUCCAGGUGUUGAAGUUUAUCUUUCAGAAGAACGCCUGGAUCGAGAGGUAUGAGACCUCCGAUAAAUUCUAUGCUUGCAAGAUGGAGGAAAACUCGUCUGUCAGUGAACAUGUGCUCAAAAUGUCUGGGUACUCAAACCGUCUAGCUGAGCAGGGGAUUGAACUCCCGCAAGAGGCUAUCACUGACAGAAUCCUUCAAUCACUGCCACCAAGCUACAAAGGCUUUGUGUUGAACUACAACAUGCAAGGGAUGAACAAGUCACCCGGCGAGUUGUUUGCGAUGUUGAAAGUCGCAGAGUCUGAACUCCGUAAAGAGCAUCAAGUGUUGAUGGUGAAUAAGACCACUAGUUUCAAGAGAAACGGCAAAGGCAAGAAGGGUAAUUCAAAGAAGAGACUUGCCGGUAAACGAGAUUGAAAUAGGUAUGCGGAUACUGACGAUCGAAUCUCGGGCAAGUAACAUACCGAAGGACAAAGGGAAUGACAUACGGGAUUAUANNNNNNNNNNNNNNNNNNNNNNNNNNNNNNNNNNNNNNNNNNNNNNNNNNNNNNNNNNNNNNNNNNNNNNNNNNNNNNNNNNNNNNNNNNNNNNNNNNNNUGUGUGUGUGUGUGUGUGCACACUUGUGAUAGUGCAAGUGAUGUGUGUAUGUGUUUAUGUGGCUUAGUUGAAAAGUGGCUCAUGUGAUCUUGCUAGUGUGUUUGGGUGUGUAGUACUUGCAAAGUAUGUGCAUUGUGGAAUAGGUGAGAUGUGUGUGUUGAGGUGAUGUGUGUGUAAGUAGUGCACACAUAUGUGGUACCUAGCAGGAGUGUAUGUAUGUGUGGAUCCAUGUUUACUUGCAUAGCAGUUGUUCCUUCAUGUUGUGCUUGAGAUUAAGUGCUUGUGAUGAGGGUAUUGUGAUGAUAUGUGUGUGGUGAUAACAGCCCCAUUUUCAACACUUGUGCACCUCCUCAUGUUCAUAUGAGAGAGGACAUGAUGUGUGUGUGUGUGAGGGUGAUCUAGUGAAAGUUGUGCUAGUGGUGUUGANNNNNNNNNNGCAACACUUGUGCACCUCCUCAUGUUGAUAUGAGAGAGGGCAUGAUGUGUGUGUGUGAGGGUGAUCUAGUGAAAGUUGUGCUAGUGGUGUUGAUAUGCAUAACACAUACAUGGGGUUCAAACCCCCAUGUCACUUUUUCAUUGUGCACAUGAGCUCAACCUUUGUAGUUGUUGACUUAGUAGGAACUACAUGAAAUGAUGCCCAUUCCCUAGGCAUGAUUUGGAGUAGUUUCCUCUCCCUUAUUUUGUGGUCACUUGUUCCAAGUAAGUGCCCACAUAUUAUAUAUGAUUUUGGGGUAGAAUCUCCCAAGGAAUCCAGUGGUGAAGUUAGUUUUUCCAUUACGAUACUUUAUGGAGUUGACAUAUUCAGAUUUGUUGCAAGUUUGAUCUUUGAUUCCAUGGAAUAGGUGGAGCCCAAGGGCANNNNNNNNNNGCCAUUAGGAUAAUUUCUGGAGUUGACAUAUUCAGAUUUAUUGCAAGUUUGAUCUUUGAUUCCAUGGAAUAGGUGGAGCCCAAGGGCAUGAGUUUUUGUGUGAUAGUAGUAGGGUUUUGCUCUACACCAUAGUGGUGUCAUAUAUCACUUGGUGUUACUUGUGUGCAAACUAUGCCUAGACAAAGUGGGCAUGUGGUUGAAAAUUCCAGUUUAGUGAAAUCUGGAAUUUCACUAAGUCUGGGAUUCUGGAAACAUUUUCUUCUCUUAUAGAUGAGGAUGUGCUGGUCAUUGUGUUGAGAUCUAGCCUUAGUUCAGUGCUAGGAUUUUGGACCUGAUAUGUUUUUUAAGUUCCCUGUCAAAUUUCAAAUCAUUUGGAGUCUAGUAGGUUGUGUUUUGAUUGCUGUCAAAAAGCUUCAGAACAAAGACAGNNNNNNNNNNAUAGCCUUAGUUCAGUGCUAGGAUUUUGGACCUGAUAUGUUUGUGAUGCUUCCUGUCAAAUUUCAAAUCAUUUCGAGUCCAGUAGGUUGUGUUUUGAUUGCUGUCAAAAAGCUUCAGAACAAAGACAGAAAUUCAGGUGCAGGAAUUUUCACCAAGUCCCUGAGAUCUGAUGGUUUUGGGGAAGUUUGUGGCCUUGUAUAUUAAUUCCUUUUGCUGUGAUUCUUGCUGGUGCUUGUAGGGUUCUUAGUGGGCUACAGCCACAUAUAUUAUUUGACAUAUUUGGUGGCCUGUAGCUAUGUUGCAUGUAGCUCACAAAGUGCUAAGAUGCAGUUUAUGGCAGAUUAUGUAGUUUUGUCAUUUCUAUGAUUGUGUGUGCUUAGUGGAUGUGGUGGUGCUCUUACUUGCUCCAAUCCAUUCAUGUGGGAGUGGUACAUGUCUUGGCAACCUGNNNNNNNNNNUAUGCAGUUUAUGGCAGAUUAUGUAGUUUUGUCAUUUUGAUGAUUGUGUGUGCUUAGUGGAUGUGGUGGUGCUCUUCCUUGCUCCAAUCCAUUCAUGUGGGAGUGGUACAUGUCUUGGCAACCUGGGAAUACCAGAUUUGUGCCAAUUGUGAGUGUGGUGUUGAUUCUUACACGUAGAGCUUCAUAUCUUGUUUCGUUGAUUCCCGUUGAACCGUAGCUCCGUUCGCAAUGUUCUUUAUAUGUUUUUGCAUAGUUUUCACGAGACGCAUCUCUUCAUGCCAUUCUCAUGCAUGUAAAAAUAUCCUAGUUUACAGUUCUGUCCAGAAACUUAUAGUAGUUCUUUUGCUUGUGCUAGUGAUAGAAAUAGUGAUGCAUGCUCAUUUUUCANNNNNNNNNNACAAUGUUCUUUAUAUGUUUUUGCAUCGUUUUCACGAGACGCAUCUCUUCAUGCCAUUCUCAUGCAUGUCGAAAUAGCCUAGUGUAAAGUUCUGUCCAGAAACUUAUAGUAGUUCCUUUUGCUUGUGCUAGUGAUAGAAAUAGUGAUGCAUGCUCAUUUUUCAUCUCAUGCAUCAUGUGAUUGUUGCAUCUUGUNNNNNNNNNNNNNNNNNNNNNNNNNNNNNNNNNNNNNNNNNNNNNNNNNNNNNNNNNNNNNNNNNNNNNNNNNNNNNNNNNNNNNNNNNNNNNNNNNNNNGAACAACAUUCGGUAACCAACCAUAUAACUCAAAUACGCAUAAAACAAUGUCGAACCUUAAGUGUGCAGACCCUACGGGUUCAGGAACUAUGUAGACAUCACCCGAGAGACUCCUCGGUCAAUAUCCAAUAGCGGGACCUGGAUGCCCAUAUUGGAUCCUACAUAUUCUACGAAGAUUUUAUCGUUUGAACAUCAGUGCCAAGGAUUCAUAUAAUCCCGUAUGUCAUUCCCUUUGUCCUUCGGUAUGUUACUUGCCCGAGAUUCGAUCAUCAGUAUCCGCAUACCUAUUUCAAUCUCAUUUGCCGGCAAGUCUCUUUACUCGUUCCGUAAUACAAGAUCCGCAACUUACACUAAGUCACAUUACUUGCAAGGCUUGUGUAUGAUGUUGUAUUACCGAGUGGGCCCCGAGAUACCUCUCCGUCACACGGAGUGACAAAUCCCAGUCUCGAUCCAUACUAACUCAACUAACACCUUCGGAGAUACCUGUAGAGCAUCUUUAUAGUCACCCAGUUACNNNNNNNNNNNNNNNNNNNNNNNNNNNNNNNNNNNNNNNNNNNNNNNNNNNNNNNNNNNNNNNNNNNNNNNNNNNNNNNNNNNNNNNNNNNNNNNNNNNNGUAGACCGAUAAUUUCUGCAUCUACUACUAUUACUCCACACGUCGACCGCUAUCCAGCAUGCAUCUAGUGUUUUGAGUUCAUGACGAACAGAGUAACGCCUUAAGAAAGAUGACAUGAUGUAGAGGGAUAAUCUCAAACCAAUGAUGAAAACCCCAUCUUUUUACCCUUGAUGGCAACAACACGAUACGUGCCUCGCUACCCCUUCUAUCACUUGGUGAGGUCACCGCACGGUAUGAACCCAAAACCAAGCAAUUCUCCCAUUGCAAGAAUCAUAGAUCUAGUUGGCCAAACAAAACCCACAACUCGAAGUGAAUUACAAGGAUAUGCAAUCAUGCAUAAGAGAGAUCAGAAGAAACUCAAAUAAGAUUCAUAGAUAAUCUGAUCAUAAAUCCACAAUUCAUCGGAUCUCGACAAACACACCGCAAAAGAAGAUUACAUCGGAUAGAUCUCCAUGAAGAUCAUGGAGAACUUUGUAUUGAAGAUCCAAGAGAGAGAAGAAGCCAUCUAGCUACUAGCUAUGGACCCGUAGGUCUGUGGUGAACUACUCACGCAUCAUCGGAGAGGUCAUGGUGUUGAUGAAGAAGCCCUCCGUAUCCGAAUCCCCCCUCGGUAGGGCACCAGAAUGUGCCCCAGAUGGGAUCUUGCGGAGACAGAAGCUUGCGGCGGCGGAAAAGUACUUUUGAUGAUCUCCUGAUUUUUUCUGGGAUUUUAGGUAAUUUAUAGGCGAAAGACCUAGGGAAGAGGUGGCCCAGGGAGCCCACAAGCCUGGGAGGCGCGGGCCCCCCUGGCCGCGGCUAGGGGGCUUGUGGGGUCCCUGCUGCCCCCCUGCCCAGAUUCUCAGGCUUCUUGAUCUUCUUAUAUUUCGGAAAAAAUCUUUUUGGCAGUUUCGUUCCGUUUGGACUCCGUUUAAAAUCCUCCUCUGAAAAGGGUCAAAAACAUGGAAAAAACAGGAACUGGCACUUGUCACUGAGUUAAUAAGUUAGUCCCAAAAAAUAUAUAAAAGGCAUACAAAACAUCCAAAGUUUGACAAGAUAAUAGCAUGAAACCAUCAAAAAUUAUAGAUACGUUGGAGAUGUAUUAACCUACGAGGUUUGUAGUAACUUGAUCCGAAGCUCUAAUGAUCACUAUCAUCAGCUUCCACUUCAAUUGGUGUAGGCGUCACAGGAACAACUUCCUGCGCCCUGCUACACACUGGUUGAAGUGACGGUUCAAUAACCUCAUCAAGUUCCACCAGUCUCCCACCCAAUUCUUUGGAGAGAAACCUUUCCUCGAGAAAGGAUCCGUUUCUAGAAACAAACACUUUGCUUCCGGAUCUGAGAUAGGAGAUGUAUCCAACUGUUUUGGAUAUCCUAUGAAGAUGCAUUUAUCCGCUUUGGGAUCGAGCUUAUUAGACUGAAACCUUUUCACAUAAGCAUCGCAACCCCAAACUUUCAAGAAACGACAGCUUAGGUUUCUCUAAACCAUAGUCUAUGGCGUGUCAUCUCAACGGAAGUAUGCGGUGCCCUAUUUAAAGUGAAUGUGGUUGUCUCUAAUGCAUAACCCAUAAACGAUAGUGGUAAUUCGAUAAGAGACAUCAUAGUAUGCACCAUAUCAUAAUAGGGUGUGGCUAUGACGUUCACACACAUCAUCACACUAUGGUGUUCCAGGUGGCAUGAACUGCGAAACAAUUUUCACAUUGUCUUAACUGCGUACCAAAAACUCGCAACUCAGAUAUUCAUCUCUAUGAUCAUAUCGUAGACAGUUUAUCCACUUGUCACAACGAUCUUCACUCUGAAAUAGCUUUGAACUUUUCAAUAUUUCAGACUUGUGAUUCAUCAAGUAAAUACUCGUGUAUCUACUCAAAUCGUCAGUGAAGUAAGAACAUAACGAUAUCCACUGCGUGCCUCAGCACUCAUUGGACUGCACACAUCAAAAAUGUAUUACUCCCAACAAGUUACUCUCUUGUUUCAUGUAGCAUGAUCUGCAUGUCUCAAGUGAUUCAAAAUCAAGUGAGCCCAAACGGUCCAUCCGCAUGGAGUUUCUUCAUGCGUUUAUACCAACAAGUAUGGUUUGCAUGUUUCAAUCGUUUCAAAAAAUGAGUGAGUACAAAGAUCCAUCAGCAUGGAGCUUCUUCAUGCAUUUUAUACCAACAUGACUCAAGUGGCAGUGCUACAACUAAGUGGUACUAUCAUUAUAACUUUGUAUCUUUUGGCACCAAUAUUAUGAACAUGUGUAACACUAUGAUCGAGAUUCAAUAAACCAUUGAGGGUAAUUAUUCAAGCAAAUAGAAUAACUAUUAUUCUCUUUAAUUGAAUAAUUGUAUUGCAAUGAACACGAUCCAAUCAUGUUCAUGAUUAACGCAAUCACCAAAUAACAAUUAUUUAAGUUUUACCACCAAUCUGGAUGAUAGAGGGAGCGUGCGAUGUUUGAUCACAUCAACCUUGGAAACACUUCCAACACGUAUUGUCACCUCGCCUUUAGCUAGUCUCCGUUUAUACCGUAGCUUUCAUUUCGAGUUACUAAUCACUUAGCAACCGAACCGGUAUCGAAUACCCUCGUGCUACUAGGAGUAAAGUACACAUCAAUAUCAUGCAUAUCAAAUAUACUUCUGUCGACUUUGCCAGCCUUCUUAUCUACCAAGUAUCUAGGGUAGCUCCGCCUCACUGACCGUUCCCCUCAUAACAGAAGCACUCAGUCUCGGGUUUGGGUUCAAUUUUGGGUUUCUUCAUUAGAGCAGCAACUUGUUUGCCGUUUCAUGAAGUAUCCCUUCAAGCCCUUACCCUUCUUGAAACUAGUGGUUUUACUAAGCAUCAACAAUUGAUGCUCCUUCUUGAUUUCUACUUUCACAGUGUCAAACAUUGCAAAUCACUCAAGGAUCAUCAUAUCUAUCCUUGAUUUGUUUAUAGUUCAUCACGAAGCUCUAGCAGCUUAGUCGCAGUGACUUUGGAGAACCAUCACUAUCUCAUCUGGAAGAUUAACUCCCACUUGAUUCAAGCGAUUGUUGUACUGAGACAAUCUGAGAACAUGCUCAACGAUUUGAGCUUUUCUCCUUUACUUUGUAGGCAAAGAAUCUUGUCGGAGGUCUUAUAUCUCUCAACAAGGGCACGAGCAUGAAAUCUCAAUUUCAUCUCUUUGAACAUCUCUUAUGUUCUGCGAUGUUUUCAAAACGUCUUCAGUGCCUUGCUUCUAAGCCAUUAAGUAUUGCGCACUGAACUAUUAUGUAGUCAUCAAAGACGUGUAUGUCAGAUGUUUGCAGCAUCCACAAACAACACCUGAGGUGCAGCACACCAAGUGGUGCAUUAAGGACAUAAGACUUCUGCGCAACAAUGAGGACAAUACUCAGUUUUACGGACUGAGUCCGCAAAGUUGCUACUAUCAACUUUGAACUAAAUUUUCUCUAGGAACAUAUAAAAACAGUAGAGCUAUAGCGCAAGCUACAUCGUAAUUUGCAAAUACCAUUGGACUAUGUUCAUGAUAAUUAGUUCAAUUAAUCAUAUUACUUAAGAACUCCCACUCAAAAAGUACAUCUCUCUAGUCAUUUGAGUGGUACAUGAUCCGAAUCCACUAUCUCAAGUCCGAUCAUCACGUGAGUCGAGAAUAGUUUCAGUGGCAAGCAUCUCUAUGCUAAUCAUAUCAACUAUACGAUUCAUGCUCGACCUUUCGGUCUCUUGUGUUCCGGGGCCAUGUCUGCACAUGCUAGGCUCGUCAAGUUUUACCCGAGUGUUCCGCGUGUGCAACUGUUUUGCACCCGUUGUAUGUGAACGUUGAGUCUAUCACACCCGAUCAUCACGUGGUGUCUCGAAUCAACAAACUGUAGCAACGGUGCAGAGUCGGGGAGAACACAAUUUCGUCUUGAAAUUUUAGUGAGAGAUCACCACAUAAUGCUAUCGUCGUUCUAAGCAAAAUAAGGUGCAUAAAAGGAUUAACAUCACAUGCAAUUCAUAAGUGAAUGAUAUGGCCAUCAUCACGUGCUUCUUUAUCUCCAUCACCAAAGCAUCGACAUGAUCUUCUUGUCACCGGUGCCACACCAUGAUCUCCAUCAACGUGUCGCCAUCGGGGUUGUCGUGCUACUUAUGCUAUUACUACUAAAGCUACGUCCUAGCAAUAUACUAAACGCAUCUGCAAACACAAACGUUAGUUUAAAGACAACCCUAUGGCUCCUGCGGGUUGCCGUACCAUCGACGUGCAAGUCGAUAUUAACUAUUACAACAUGAUCAUCUCAUACAUCCAAUAUAUCACAUCACGUCAUUGGCCAUAUCAUAUCACAAGCAUAUCCUUCGAAAACAAGUUAGACGUCCUCUAAUUGUUGUUGAAUGUUUUACGUGGUUUCAAUGGGUAUCUAGUAGAUCGCAUCUUACUUACGCAAAAACCACAACGCAGAUGUGCAAAUUGCUAUUUAUCCUCUCCAGGGACCGCCUCGGUCAAAACCAAUUCAACUAAAGUUGAAGAAACCGACACCCGCCAGUCAUCUUUAUGCAACGAGGUUGCAUGUCAAUCGAUGAAACUAGUCUUUUGUAAGCAUACGAAUAAUGUCGGUCCGGGCCGCUUCAAUCCAAAAAUACCGCCAAAUUGAGAAAAGACUCAGGAGGGCAGCAAAUCGAACAUCACCGUCCAGAAAACCCUUUGUGUUCUACUCGAGAUUACAUCUACGCAUGAACCUAGCUCAUGAUGCCUAUGUUGGGGAACGUCGCAUGGGAAACAAAAAAUUUCCUACGCGCACGAAGACCUACCGUGGUGAUGUCCAUCUACGAGAGGAGAUUUGGAUCUACGUACCCUUAAAGAUCGCACAGCAGGAAGCGUUAAGAAACGCGGUUGAUGUAGUGGAACGUCCUCACGUCCCUCGAUCCGCCCCNNNNNNNNNNUCCGUCCCACGAUCCGCUCCGAUCUAGUGCCGAACGGACGGCACCUCCAUGUUCAGCACACGUACAGCUCGACGAUGAUCUCGGCCUUCUUGAUCCAGAAAGUAAGACGAAGAAGUAGAUGAGUUCUCCGGCAGCGUGAAGGCGCUUCGGUGGUGGUUGCUACGACAACAAAAGUUCUUCCCCGGCAAUGGCGCCAGAAAUCCUUCUUGCUACUUCUCAAACAACAACGCCAAAAUUGACACGUUGACGGAGACUUGCUUGCGUCGGUUUUUGCCUUGAAGAGGAAAGGGUGAUGCAGCACAGGAGCAGUAAGUAUUUCCCUCAGUUUGAGAACCAAGGUAUCAAUCCAGUAGGAGAAUCUCGUCAAGUCCAGAGUACCUCCACAAACAUAAAGAUCUUGCACCCAAUGCUAUAAAGGGGUUGUCAAUCCCUUCAAGAUUGAUUGCAAAGUGAGAUUUGAAGGCGGAAAGUGCAACGAAGUAAAAUUGUAAGGCUAAAAAUAUGGUGUGGAGUAGACCCCGGGGCCAUAGUGUUCACUAGAGGCUUCUCUCAAAAUAGCAAAUAUUACAGUGGGUGAACAAAUUACUGUCGAGAAAUUGAUAGAACCGCGCAAAGUCAUGACGAUAUCUAAGGCAAUGAUCAUACAUAUAGGCAUCACGUCCGAGACAACUAGACCGAUACUUUCUGCAUCUACUACUAUUACUCCACACAUCGACCGCUAUCCAGCAUGCAUCUAGUGUAUUGAGUUCAUGACGAACAGAGUAACGCCUUAAGCAAGAUGACAUGAUGUAGAGGGAUAAUCUCAAACCAAUGAUGAGAACCCCAUCUUUUUACCCUCGAUGGCAACAACACGAUGCGUGCCUCGCUACCCCUUCUGUCACUGGGUGAGGUCACCACACGGUAUGAACCCAAAACCAAGCACUUCUCCCAUUGCAAGAAUCAUCGAUCUAGUUGGCCAAACAAAACCCACAACUCGAAGAGAAUUACAAGGAUAUGAAAUCAUGCAUAAGAGAGAUCGGAAGAAACUCAAAUAAGACUCAUAGAUAAUCUGAUCAUAAAUCCACAAUUGAUCGAAUGUCGACAAACACACCGCAAAAGAAGAUUACAUCGGAUAGAUCUCCAUGANNNNNNNNNNNNNNNNNNNNNNNNNNNNNNNNNNNNNNNNNNNNNNNNNNNNNNNNNNNNNNNNNNNNNNNNNNNNNNNNNNNNNNNNNNNNNNNNNNNNNNNNNNNNNNNNNNNNNNNNNNNNNNNNNNNNNNNNNNNNNNNNNAUACUAGCUAUGGACCCGUAGGUCUAUGGUGAACUACUCACGCAUCAUCGGAGAGGUCAUGGUGUUGCUGAAGAAGCCCUCUGUAUCCGAAUCCCCCCUCCGACAGGGCACCGGAACGUGCCCCAGAUGGGAUCUUGUAGAGACAGAAGCUUGCGGCGGCGGAAAAGUACUUUCGAUGAUCUCCUGAUUUUUUUCUGGGAUUUUAGGGAAUUUAUAGGCGAAAGUCCUAGGGCAGAGCUGGCCCAAGGAGCCCACAAGCCUGGGAGGCGCGGGCCCCCUGGUCGCGGCUAGGGGGCUUGUGGGGUCCCUGCAGCCCCCCUGCCCUGAUUCUCAGGUUUCCCGAUCUUCUUCUGUUUCAGAAAAAAUCUUUUUGACAGUUUCAUUCCGUUUGGACUCCGUUUAAAAUCCUCCUUUGAAAGGGGUCAAAAACAUGGGGAAAUAGGAACUGGCACUGAGUUAAUAAGUUAGUCCCAAAAAGUAUAUAAAAGGCAUGCAAAACAUCCAAAGUUUGACAAGAUAAUAGCAUGAAACCAUAAAAAUUAUAGAUACAUUGGAUACGUAUCAAGCAUCCCCAAGCUUAACUCCUGCUCGUCCUAAAGUAGGGAAGUGAUAAAGAAUUAAAUUUUGAUGUGGAAUGCUACCUAGCAUAGUUGUCCUUUGCAACUUCUUUCAUGUGACAUGAGUGUUCAGAUCCGUGAGAUUGAAAACAAUAGUUUGCUAUUGACAUGAAAACAAUAAUACUUCAAGCAAACUAGCAAGGUAAUCAUGAACUUUAAAAAUAACAAGGCCAAGGAAAGUUAUCCCUACAAAAUUAUAUAGUCUGGCUAUGCUCCAUCAUCCUCACACAACUAAUGUAAAUCAUGCACAACCCCGGUAUUGGCCAAGAAAUAGUUUUCGCACUCUUACUUUCUCAAACUUUUUAUAACUAUCAUGCAAUACAUGAGCGUGAGCCAUGGAUAUAGCACUAUAAUUGGAAUAGAGUGUGGUGGUGGUUGUGAGACAAAAAGGAGAAGAUGGUCACAUUGACUCUGCGUAUCAAAGGGCUAUGGAGAUACCCAUUAAUAGAUAUCAAUGUGAAUGAGUAGGGAUUGCCAUACAAAGGAUGCACUAGAGCUAUAAGUAUGUGAAAGCUCAAAAGGAAAACUAGUGGGUGUGCAUCCAACUUGCUUUCUCACGAAGACCUAGGGCAAUUUUGAGGAAACCCAUCAUUGGAAUAUACAAGCCAAGUUAUAUAGUGAAGAUUCCAACUAGCAUAUGGUGGUGACGAAACGAGAGGCUCUCAAUCAUGAAGAACAUGGUGCUAUUAUGAAGCACAAGUGUGGAAAAAGAUAGUAGCAUUGUCCCUUCUCUCUUUUCUCUCUUCUUCUUUUUUAUUUGGGCUCUUAGGCCUCUUUUUCUCUUUUUUUGGGCUCUUUGGCCUCUUUUUUUAUUUUAUUUCCUCACAUGGGACAAUGCUCUAAUAAUGAUGAUCAUCACACUUUUAUUUACUCACAGCUCAAAGCUUAGAAAUGACUUCUAUAGGAAAUGCCUCCGGCAGUGUACCGGGAUGUGCAACGAUCUAGCUUGGCGUAUGACGUUGAAACAUAUCGCUAGCUAUCUUGCGAUCAUGCAAUGGAAAUAUGAGAGUGACGGCACAAGUCAUGAGACGGAACGGUGGGAGUUGCAUGUCAAUAUAUCUCGGAAUGGCUACGAAAAUGCCAUAGUAGGUAGAUAUGGUGGUUGUUUUGAGGAAGGCAUUUGGUGGGUUUGUGUACCGGCGAGAAUUGCACGGCACUAGAGAGGCUAGCAAUGGUGAAAGGUGGAAGUGCAUCUAUACCAUGGACUCACAUUAGUCAUGAAGAACUCACAUACAUGUUGCGAAAUUUUUUAUUAGUAAUCGAAACAAAGUGCUAAACGCAUACUCCUAGGGGAAGGGUUGGUAGGUGUUAACCAUCGCACGAACCCGACCUCAACACAAAGGAUGACAAUCAAUAGAUCAAUUAUGCUUCGACUUCCUAACAUAGCGGUUCACCAUACGUGCAUGCUACGGGAAUCACUAACUUUAACACAAGUAUUUCUAGAUUCACAAUACCCUACUAACAUAACUCUUAAUAUUACCAAAUCCACGCCUCCAAACUAAUUGAGAGGAAUCAAAACUUCUCUUUCUACUCAAUGCACAUGAAUAUGGAGGUUUUUGUAUCCUCUUUGGGUACCUAUCACCUUUGGGACUACUUUCAUAGCAUAAGCCAACUACCAAAUCACGCACCGCCGUGCUCUAACAGAUCUAAGUGAAGCACAUAUAGCAAAAUUGUCUAGCUGAAAAGAUAUAAGUGAAGCACAAUGAGCAUUCUAGCAAAAUCACGGUGAGUUCAUGUCUAUCUCUAAAGGUGUGCAUCAAGGAUGAUUGUGACACAACAAAAAGAAAAUAAUCCUAAGAUACAAGACACUCCAAGCAAAACACAUAUCAUGUGGUGAAUAAAAAUAUAGCUCCAAGUAAUGUUACCGAUGGAUUGAAGACGAAAGAGGGGAUGCCUUCCCGGGGCAUNNNNNNNNNNNNNNNNNNNNNNNNNNNNNNNNNNNNNNNNNNNNNNNNNNNNNNNNNNNNNNNNNNNNNNNNNNNNNNNNNNNNNNNNNNNNNNNNNNNNGGAUGCCUUUGCGGCCUGUGUUCGUUUAUGAUGGACUAGUUGGAGCACCCCUGCAGGGUUUAAUCUUUCAGAAAGCCGUGCCCACGGUUAUGUGGCAACUUGGAAUAUUUUGUUAACAUCCGGUAUUAGAGAACUUGAACAUAAGCUAAUAAAAUUGCCAACUGUGUGCGUAUCCGUGUCUGUCCCCUCGAAGAUCCCUCUUCGAUCGGGAACACGGUGGGGUUAUGAAUGCCGUAGGUAGGUGGUCAGGAUCACUUAGUGAUCAAGUAUUCCCGACCGCUAGUGUAGACCACCUUCACAAUUACUUCGCGUAAGUUAGCCACUUAAUCAAGCUUAGGAUGCUGCAGCCUUAUACACUUCACCCUUACCCUACCUAAUAACAUGACUAGUUCUGGCACCAAGGUCUUAGAUUGCUGAGUCCCCGUGGCUCACGGAUUCCUCCGAAACUCCCAGCAGGUACAGGUACCCCAGAUAUAGAUGAUCCCGACGGCACCCAGCUGGCGUGGCAGUACGACGAGGAGACAGACCGCCUCUACGUGACCUAUCCAGGGGACUGAGGCGUGGUCGUGAUCGUGGGCCUGCAGGCAGGGUAGCAUAGCAUUUCCAUGUUUUGUAGUCCGUAGCGGAACUACNNNNNNNNNNNNNNNNNNNNNNNNNNNNNNNNNNNNNNNNNNNNNNNNNNNNNNNNNNNNNNNNNNNNNNNNNNNNNNNNNNNNNNNNNNNNNNNNNNNNAAAAAAAAGAGCAGGUGGGAAAAGGGGGAAGGACUCCUCCUUCCAAACCUAAUUGGACUCGGUUUGGAAGGGGAGGGUUGCCCCCCUUGGCUCGGCCGCCCCCUUGGGAGUCCUUGGACCCCAAGGCAAGGCUCCCCCUCCUCCCCCUAUAUAUACGCAGGUUUUAGGGCUGAUUUGAGACAACUUUGCCACGACAGCCCGACCACAUAUCUCCACGGUUUCACCUCUAGAUCGCGUUUCUGCGGAGCUCGGGCGGAGCCCUGUGAGAUAAGAUCACCACCAACCUCCGUAGCUCCGUCACGCUGGCGGAGAACUCAUCUACCUCUCCAUCACUCUUGCUGGAUCNNNNNNNNNNAGUUUCACCUCUAGAUCGCGUUUCUGCGGAGCUCGGGCGGAGCCCUGCUGAGAUAAGAUCACCACCAACCUCCGGAGCGCCAUCACGCUGGCGGAGAACUCAUCUACCUCUCCAUCACUCUUGCUGGAUCAAGAAGGCCGAGAUCAUCGUCGAGCUGUACGUGUGCUGAACGCGGAGGUGCCGUCCGUUCGGCACUAGAUCGUGGGACUGAUCGCGGGACGGUUCGCGGGGCGGAUCGAGGGACAUGAGGACGUUCCACUACAUCAACUGUGUUCACUAAUGCUUCUGCUGUGCGGUCUACAAGGGUACCUAGAUCGAACAUCCCCUCUCGUAGAUGGACAUCACCAUGAUAGGUCUUCGUGCGCGUAGGAAAUUUUUUGUUUCCCACGCGACGUUCCCCAACAGUGGCACCAUGAGCUAGGUUCAUGCGUAGAUGUCUUCUCGAGUAGAACACAAAAGUUUUUGUGGGCGGUGAUGUGCGUUUUGCUGCCCUCCUUAGUCUUUUCUUGAUUCCGCGGUAUUGUUGGAUUGAAGCGGCUUGGACCGACAUUACUCGUACGCUUACGAGAGACUGGUUUCAUCGUUACGAGUAACCCCCUUUGCUCAAAGAUGACUGGCAAGUGACGGUUUCUCCAACUUUAGUUGAAUCNNNNNNNNNNNNNNNNNNNNNNNNNNNNNNNNNNNNNNNNNNNNNNNNNNNNNNNNNNNNNNNNNNNNNNNNNNNNNNNNNNNNNNNNNNNNNNNNNNNNUGGGAUCUUGUAUUACGGAACGAGUAAAGAGACUUGCUGGUAAACGAGAUUGAAAUAGGUAUGCGGAUACUGACGAUUGAAUCUCGGGCAAGUAACGUACCGAAGGACAAAGGGAAUGACAUACGGGAUUAUACGAAUCCUUGGCACUGAGGUUCAAACGAUAAGACCUUCGUAGAAUAUGUAGGAUCCAAUAUGGGCAUCCAGGUCCCGCUGUUGGAUAUUGACCGAGGAGUCUCUCGGGUCAUGUCUACAUAGUUCUCGNNNNNNNNNNNNNNNNNNNNNNNNNNNNNNNNNNNNNNNNNNNNNNNNNNNNNNNNNNNNNNNNNNNNNNNNNNNNNNNNNNNNNNUGGGUCAUGUCUACAUAGUUCUCGAACCCGCAGGGUCUACACACUUAAGGUUCGACGUUGUUUUAUGCGUAUUAGAGUUAUAUGGUUGGUUACCGAAUGUUGUUCGGAGUCCCGGAUGAGAUCACGGACGUCACGAGGGUUUCCGGAAUGGUCCGGAAACGAAGAUUGAUAUAUAGGAUGACCUCAUUUGAUUACCGGAAGGUUUUCGGAGUAACCGGGAAUGUACCGGGAAUGACGAAUGGGUUCCGAAGUUCACCGGGGGGGCAACCCACCCCGGGGAAGCCCAUAGGCCUUGAGGGAGGCACACCAGCCCUUAGUGGGCUGGUGGGACAGCCCAAAAGAGCCCUAUGCGCCAUAGAGAUAAAAAUCAAAGAGAAAGAAAAAAAAAGGGAGGUGGGAAGGAAGGGAAGGACUCCCUCCCACCAAACCAAGUCCAACUCGGUUUCGGGGGGGAGUCUUCCCCCCUUGGACUCGGCCGACCCCCUUGGGGCUCCUUGAGCCCCAAGGCAAGGUCCCCUCCCUCCCACCUAUAUAUACGGAGGUUUUAGGGCUGAUUUGAGACGACUUUUCCACGGCAGCCCGACCACAUACCUCCACGGUUUUUCCUCUAGAUCGCGUUUCUGCGGANNNNNNNNNNGGCGGAGCCCUGCUGAGACAAGAUCAUCACCAACCUCCGGAGCGCCGUCACGCUGCCGGAGAACUCUUCUACCUCUCUGUCUCUCUUGCUGGACCAAGAAGGCCGAGAUCAUCGUCGAGCUGUACGUGUGCUGAACGCGGAGGUGCCGUCCGUUCGGUACUAGAUCGUGGGACUGAUCGCGGGAUUGUUCGCGGGGCGGAUCGAGGGACGUGAGGACGUUCCACUACAUCAANNNNNNNNNNNNNNNNNNNNNNNNNNNNNNNNNNNNNNNNNNNNNNNNNNNNNNNNNNNNNNNNNNNNNNNNNNNNNNNNNNNNNNNNNNNNNNNNNNNNCGGACCGUCGCCGUUGCACGUCGAACGACGCGGAACGCCGCCGCUCGCUCCGUCCACCGGUCGCCUCCCUCCGUCCUCGGAACCAGGCGCCGCCGCCGUCCUCCGAACCCGACCGAGGCCGGCGCCGGCCGGCGCCCACUCGACCCCCGAGAACCACGUCCAGGGUCGACCUCCGAGGCGCCACUUGGCCGCGGGCAGGCUGCGCUGGCUCCGGGCUCCGGGCGCGGGGGCGGGCGAGCGGCUGCUAGGCGGAGGACGAAGAGGAGGAGGAGGAAGACUUGACGAGGGCGGAGAGCCAGACGACGACGACGUUGAUGGAGAUGGUCACGUACGGCCUAGCGUCCACGGAGAAGUUGAAGCUGAAGUAGGACGCUCCCGGCGCCGAGGAAGAUGCCGCCAUCUCCAUGUCCAUGGUCUCUGUCUGUGGUAUGCCUGUCUCCUCUGCUCUUGCUGCCUUGGUGCUUCUUGCUUGCCUCUGGGAUGAGAGUUGUCGCUGGUCGCUGCGUGCUGGAUGCUAUUUGCAGAGCACGAAGGCUUGGCAUAUAUAGCUUGGUAGCCUCGCGAUAAGGCGCGAAACAAGUUGGAAGCGGGAUCGKACCCGUUGCGACUUGGGAAGAAGGAAAGCCGGGAGCGAAGAAGGUUCCCGGAAGCGGGGAGGCGUGGUGGAAACGCCGGACCAGACCGAGCGGUCGCCGGUUCGUGGCUUGUGAAAGUGAUGGAGCUGUCGUGCGCGCGCGCGCGGGGGUGUUUUUCAGCGGGUUUCGAGGGAGCUUCGCGGCGUGGAAACAUGCGCACCGGCGACCUGACCGUCCUGCUUUCUCGUGUUCUCGGUUGGGGUUGGCGUUGGAAUUCCACGCAGCCUCUCUCUCUCCUAUUUUAGUGGGCACGUCGCUCUCGUUUCGUCUGUGGUGCAGCCGCUCGUCUGCUACUCUUUCCGUUGUCGGGUUUCCUCCUGGUUGAUUUUCUUUUUGCGACUGAAUUCUGAUUUGAUUUUGAUAGAUAUAUGUGCGGUGGUGGACUGGUCGCAGGGAGCUGGGGGUGGUAUACGGCGACCGGUGUGAAGGAAGGUUGGUGAGUUGGCUGGCGAGCGCUUGACCAGAUUUCGUGGUGGACUCGACCAAACCAAACCAAACAGUGGCGUAGGUCUUUGCGCCAGCGGGCGUGAGGGAAUGCUUGCUCGUGCCCCCACCACCGGGUCGUCUCCGAUGACUGAGGUGUUUACACGCGACAGAGGUGCUAAUUAUGUGUGCUGCCGGCUGCAUAUAGAUCGAUAUACGCUAAAUGGAAACAUGACAACAAAACGUACGUUUGCCCGCACAAACCUUCCUGGACGGCAUGUUUGUCUCACGCUACUUUUCAUCCUUUGUUUUACAAAUUUGAAAUCUGAAGCUACAUUUCUUUUAAACACGAUAUAGAUGCAAGAGCUCAUAUAUAAGAGCAACUCUAGCAUACCCCGCAUCCCGUCGGCCCGUAAAACGCGUUUGCAGGUCGCGCAAAACAGCUUUUGCAGGCUGGCGUGGGCUGGCACAGAUGCGGACCCACCAAACGGAUCCGUAAAAAAAUAUAGUCGCGAAAUAUUCCUUUUUACGGGUCGGCUUUGCGGGAUCUGCUCUUUGCACCGCUGCUUCCCACGUAUCAUUAGCCCGCAAAUAUCAAAUACUCCCUCUGUAAGUUAAUAUAAGAGCAUUUAGACUACUAAAGUAGUGUUCUAAAUGCUCUUAUAUUAGUUUACGGGGACAUAAUUCAACAGCCGAAAACAAACUGAAUUAUUCGAAUCAAACACAAUACAAUAAUCAUCCGCAUUACAAACAAUUAUUCAAAACAUGUCAUGAAUACAAAUACAAAUGAAUACAAAAAUAAGUCACUGUCCAGCCAUUUGCCAAUGGUGUUCAAUGAGAUCUUUCUGAAGUUGAAAGUGGGUGUGUGGGUUUUCAAUCUCCUUGUCUGUCUGAAGAAAAGCUCUAAUGCGGUUUGGGUCUCUAGCUGGUUUAACACGGCUACCCACAUUGUCGUAAAAGAAUUCUAAGUUCCCAAGAUUCCUCGCAAGCUUGAACAAUUUUCACAAAGAGGGAUCGACGCAUUCCUUCUUUGAGUAAAUUACCGGCAAUUUUCCUCGCAAGCUUGAACAAUUUUCACAAAGAGGGAUCGGCGCAUUCGGUACCUUCUCCGGAAGAGGUGUGGAGGAUAUGUAGGAUGUUGGGGAACGUCGCAUGGAAAACAAAUUUUUUCCUACGCGCACAAAGACCUAUCAUGGUGAUGUCCAUCUACGAGGGGGAUUUCAGAUCUACGUACCCUUGUAGAUCGCACAGCAGAAGCGUUAAUAAACGCGGUUGAUGUAGUGGAACGUCCUCACGUCCCUCGAUCCGCCCCGCGAACCGUCCCACGAACCGUCCCGCGAUCUGUCCCACGAUCCGCUCCGAUCUAGUGCCGAACGGACGGCACCUCCGCGUUCAGCACACGUACAGCUCGACGAUGAUCUCGGCCUUCUUGAUCCAGCAAGAGAGACAGAGAGGUAGAUGAGUUCUCCGGCAGCAUGACGGCACUCCGAAGGUUUGUGGUGAUCUAAUCUCAGCAGGGCUCCGCGCGAGCUCCGCAGAAACGCGAUCUAGAGGAAAAACCGUGGAGGUAUGUGGUCGGACUGCCGUGGAAAAGUUAUCCCAAAUCAGCCCUAAAACCGCCGUAUAUAUAGGUGGGAGGGGAGGGGCCUUGCCUUGGGGCUCAAGGAGCCCCAAGGGGUUCGGCCGAAGGGGGGAGGAGGAGUCCUCCUCCAAUCCUAGUCCAACUAGGAUUGGAAGGUGGAGUCCUUCCCUUCCUUCCCACUUCCACUUUUUUCUCUUUGAUUUUCUUAUCUCCCUGCGCAGGGGCCUCUCUGGGCUUGCCCACCAACCCACUAAGGGCCGGUGCGGCACCACUAAGGCCUAUGGUCUUCCCCGGGGUGGGCUCGNNNNNNNNNNNNNNNNNNNNNNNNNNNNNNNNNNNNNNNNNNNNNNNNNNNNNNNNNNNNNNNNNNNNNNNNNNNNNNNNNNNNNNNNNNNNNNNNNNNNCUAAAAAAAGGGUUACUUUUAGUUUUGUAAAACAAAUUUUUAGGUAAUGUUACCUUUUCUAUAAUUUUUACUGAAAUUACUAAAACAAUAAUUACAGUUUUUCUAAAAAAAAUAGUUUUGAAAUUUUGAAAAAAUUAGGUUUAACUUUUUCAUUUUUUUAAGGUAGUUUUAMAAAWARUUACCAAAUUWCARWAAHAAUUUAAAAAAAAUAAAAAAAAUAAAAACAAAGAACAAAAAGGGUAAAAGGGAAAGAAAAUAAAAGAAAGAAAAAAACAAACAAAAAAUCUAAAAAAGAUAAAAUACCAAAAACGUAGAAGAAACAGGAGGAACCUUCUAGGAGAAAAAACGACUGAGAAACUAUAGAAGGUUCCCCAAACCGGAAUGGUGCAACUUGUUAAUAGUCGGCCCAGGUGAUUACCAUAAAAUGGACACAAUUUUAAUUGUAGAUGUAACUAAUUCACAAAAUGAAUCGUGCAUGAAAAUUCACAUGCAUAUCUUCUUUGUGUGGCGCCCGGUUGUACAUCGUGUAGCAUUUGAUCUACAGGCGCUACACCUCUGAUAAGCGUGGCAUCCGAGGUUAUAAUUCUGAUUGUAUGAUGUUUAAAUGAAAGGAGUCACUCUACAUUAUAUGACACCCGCUGAAAGAAGCCACAUUAUUUUAUAUUAAAAUUGAUGUAACUUUUAAUCCUUGCAUCCGAUGAAAAUAUGUUUUAUAUGAAUAUUGUGUAUUUUUCUGUGUUCUACGCAAUGGUGUCAUUUCCAUCGAUGUUAAGAUCAAUUUUCUUGAUGAAAUCUCUGUUGCAAAAAUGCGUCAUAAUAUAAUUGAUCGGAUUUGUUAAGACUUACAAAGUUGACAUGAUGGUAGCCACUGACUUAUAGCUUUUAUGCAUUUGCAUUCUACAUGAGUUUUACCCUAUAUAAUGUGUAUGUUCACGUCAUGUUCAUGCUUGUCAUGUUAGUCAUCUUUAAUAUGUUCAUGUCUUGCAUCUAAGUGACUAACAUGAUAUAUUUUUUGUAAACAAUCUUAUGAAGCUUUAUUUAACUGAAAUCAAUGUUUACAGAAAUAAAUGCAGGAUCAUCGGGUUGCUUAACCACACAUGGUCGCCAACCCCUAGUCUGGUAACAUGCUUCGUUAUGGAUGGGCCAGUUCCAAACACAGUAGGCCCACUUCCACCUCGUAGCCGGGCUUAGUCAGGUCAGUCGUCCAUUGUAGGAUUUUCUUCCACCUGGUCUUCGCACCUCUGAGACGGGGAGAUGCGGAGGCCGUCGGCUUCGUCGCCUCCGGCGAGGGGACCGGCGUUGGCUGCAGCAGCCGCUGUCGUUCUCCUCCCGGCUAUUUUCCCCGCGCUGUUCUCCCCGCUCGGCCGCGCCUUCCCUUCCCUAUUCUCGGUGCGUCCCCUAUAGUCGCCAUCCUCCUCUCCAGGCGGCUCGAUUUGAGCCGGUGUAGCGUCAUAUUGGCGAUCUUCCGCUUCUCUAGCUGCUUCCUACGCCUCUCCUUGCUAGUUCGCCACUUUGCCGAGUCCGAUUGUUUGGGGUGGGCGAAAAUUGGAUAUAAUCUAGAGGGAUUGGUACUUUUGGGGGGAGGAAUGUAUGUGGAAGGUGAAAUGAUGUGGUGAAUUCGUGGCUUUGUCCCCUCUUGAAUUGGAACUAGUACGAAAUUACAUUUGUUUAUUUGGUGUAUAUGUAUGUCGAUGCAGAGUAACCUGUAAAUAAGCAAAGUGUGCAACCUGUAAAUAAGCGAAGUUUGCAAGAUCUGGAUUCUUUUGAUGGACAGCAUCAUGCCAGUUGCAUCGGAUAUUUUGGUUUGGACAGUGGUCUCCAAUGUGUGAUUACGAGUAGAUUUUUUUGUAUGCAUUUCGGGGCAGUGUGGGACGCUGGGACUGUACUCGGCUACCAUGAGCCAUGACAGUAUUGGGAAUAACAUGUGUACUGGAUUACUCUACUAUGGCUGUGAAGAUAGAUUGGCUACUGAUGUGGACCUUAGUAAAUAUUUCUGCAGACUGCAAUAUUGUCUUUUUAAGAUUAAUCAUGUGGACAGCGUGUAUACUGCAGGAGUGGAAUGCCCCUAAGCCAAUGCACGAGUCUCUUUUCAAUGAGUCUUUGCGAUGGACAAUAGUGAGUAUUCACAACUCAGAUAAAUACUGGAAAUAGUUAUGUUGAAGUCUAUUUGUAACUUACUCUCUGUACAGCCAGAUGAACAAAAAAGAGAUCUCUGGACACCCUUGCCUGAUCAGGGGUGGAAACCAUGCAUAAGGUCAUCGAUCACUCGUGGUAACAUUCUGUGAUAAAUCUGUUUAGGUAAUGAUAUGCCUCCCGCUGCGAUAGAUCACUAAGCAUUUGGUUAUAUGAAGUGUAGGGUUACCUUCACAACCCAGUGGGUACAUACAAGUAUUUCUUGAUGGUGGCCUGAACCAGCAGAGAAUGGGGGUAACUCACUUCUUAUGUACCAAACUCAUGAUGUUAGAUUUAAUAUAACUUGCUUGGUUGAAACUUCAGAUCAUCUGGCUCUUUCUUUUUGUUCUCUAGAUAUGUGAUGCAGUUGCGGUUGCUAAGAUUUUGAACGCUACUCUUGUGAUCCCACAUCUUGAAGUAAACCCUGUUUGGAAAGACUCAAGGUGCUUUUGGAGUUUCAGAGUACUACUGUAUCUUGUUAAUUUUAAAUACUCCUGUUAGAUUGGAAGUGAAAGGUUUAGUUUGGUCUGCAGCUCAUUUGGAGAUAUUUUUAAUGUGGAUCACUUCAUCAACACCCUAAGAGGCGAUGUUUCAAUAGUGAGAGCUCCAUUAAAAGAAUUUUCGUGGAGCACAAGAGAGUUCUAUAGCACAGGAAUACGUGCUACAAGAAUAAAAACUGCACCUCUUCAUGCCUCGGCUAAUUGGUAUAUAGAGAAUGUCAGUCCUAUCCUGCAAAGGUUUGUGAUUUUCUUGGCCAUAUAGUCGCUUCUCUAGACCCCUUGAGUAAGUGGCAUAAUAAUGCUAAGAAACUGCAGUUCAUGUUUAGCCCAGGUUGAUGGCCACUGAACUGGCUUUAUAGUAUUAACAUGACAACUCGUUGUCUAACUUCAUUAGUUGGUUACUCUGUGAGGGGAAUCCUUCACCGAAAAUCUCAUGCAAGCGUUGUUUCCCUUGUCAGCUAUGGCAUUGCUGCCAUUGCCCCCUUUUCUCACCGCCUUGCAUUCGAUGAUUUGCCUGUGGAUAUUCAACGCCUGCGCUGUAAAGUUAACUUUGAAGCCCUGGUUUUUGUGCCUUACAUUAUAUCACUGGGGAGGACCCUUGAGAAGCGCUUGAGAUCUCCAGUGCAGGGGCAUUCCACUGAAUUAACCCAACAAGUUGUAGAAGAUUACACAGAUCAGUCUGAAAAGUAUGCAGUUGUACAUCUCCGCUUCGAUAAGGUAAAUGGAAGGGCUUCUGCUAUAUUUGGAAGUCGUACGUGUAUAUUUUUGUUAUCUUCAAGGAAUUUCCACUCUGAAACAACUCAAGCUGACCUACAUUUUUCAGGAUAUGGCUGCACAUUCUGCCUGUGACUUUGGCGGUGGUAGAGCUGAAAAAUUAGCUCUGGCUAAGUACAGGCAAGUUAUCUGGCAAGGGAGGGUAUUAAAUUCACAGUUAAGUGAUGAGGAGCUUCGAAACACAGGACGCUGCCCGUUGACUCCAGAAGAGAUUGGAUUGAUACUAGUAGCGCUUGGCUUUGACAGCAAAACUCGAUUUUAUCUUGCCUCUCACAAGGUUUGACUCUCUGCCUCUGCCGGUGCGCUUACUUAUUCUCCGUAGUGGAAGCAGAAAUUUCUAACAUACGUCACCUAUUAAGGUAUAUGGAGGGGAAGCUAGGAUCUCUAGCUUGCGCAAGCUUUUCCCGCUGAUGGUAGACAAGAGGAGCCUUGCAUCGGCAGAUGAGCUUGCUAGUAUCGAAGGGAAGGCUUCUGUGCUAGCAGCUCUUGACUACCAUAUCAGCAUGCACAGCGAUGUUUUCAUCUCUGCUUCUCCUGGCAAUAUGCAUAAUGCACUGGUAAAUCCUGUUUGGCUUCAGCUGUAUUCGCUAGAUUUCUCCUCUUUCUUUAUUGGUCCUGACCAGAUGAUGGUUGAUUCAGCUGGCCCACCGGACCUAUAGGAAUCUGAAGACGAUAAGGCCAAACAUGACAUUGCUUGGCCACAUAUUUGUGAACAAGAGCAUGGAGUGGUCAGAGUUUCAGCAGGCUGUGCAGGCAGGCCACAAAGGUAGAUACGGGCAGAUCCGGCUGAGGAAGCCGAAGCAGUCUAUCUAUACUUAUCCUGCCCCAGAUUGUAUGUGCCCAGGGUAGAUCGCCAAGUUUUCUGCGGUGCACCGACAAAAGAAAUGUGCUGAGUUACUUGCAGUUUCUAAUUAGGUUAAGCUCAUGUGGAUAUGUAUAUUUAGUUCUGAAUUUUCGGUUGAAUCAGUUUGCUGCCACUUCCAAUAGGAUCUUAAAAUUUUAACCAAAAUUUACGCACUAUACGUUGAGCCUUGAAGGACUCUAAUCUUGUGCUGUUUGCACGAUCCAUACGACGAAGUUGUAGUUUUGGAGCUGAUGUUGUGUAUCUGUGACCUGACUUGAUAUACUGGAUCCUUUUUCUUCUUUUAUUCCGCUGUUCUACUUCUGGGAGUCCGGUGUUCUGAAUUUCUGCUUUGAUUUAGUAUUACUAUCGUCAUGGCGAAUUCGAUACUAAUGCUUCAAACUAGUAGUAUGUUUUGCCAUGUUUUAAAAUAACACGCAUGGGUGAUAUUACAAGUACAGCCUCCGUCGGAAGCCAUGGGCGAAUCCACAAGGACAAAGUUUCACCACCGGAACUUUAAGAUUACAACACGUUUUUGCACUGCCACCUACUCCUCCACACUUUGUACAUCCUCAGCACCCCAAAAUAAUAAUUCAGACCACCUGAAACCUCCUUGGUCGGUGAAAUCGACGGAUUUAUUGGCCGGAGAUGGUCUGGAUGAUGGUGUUGUGCCAUGGGUCGGCCAGGUGCUGCUGCAGGUUCUCGAACGGCCCCUUCCCGGUCACGUUGUGCUGCACCAGGAACCCCAGGAACGCCAGCAUGGCCAGUCUCCCUGAACGAAUGAACGCGCGCGCGAAUACAGAUUAACGAGAGCCGUCGGAUUAGAAACCCGAGGGUUCAGAUGAGACUGAAGAGAGGAUGGACGUACCGUUGGCGAGCUCCUUCUCCUUGUUCUCGAGGGUGGGGGCGAAGUUGAGGGGGUUGAAGACGCUGCCGGGGUAGCCGCACUCGUGGGGCGGGAGGCUGUAGCUCUUGAAGAUGGGGUCCUGGUUGACGGAGCCCGGGUUCUUGAUGUCCUGCCACCGCCGGAUCUCGACGUAGUGGAAGAGGAUGAACUCGAUGACGAAGAGCGUGGAGGAGGAGGCGAAGUAGGUCUCCUUGCCGGCGUCGUACCACUCGGGCGCGUUCAGCAGCCCCGCCUUGGUCAGCACCUCCGGGAUCAGCAUCCCCGCCACCCCCAGCAUCGCCCACCGCCCGUUCACCAGCUCCGCCUGCACGAACCACCGCAGGUCCUCCGGGUCCUCCGCCAGCGCCAGCGGGUCAAAACCAUUGUCACCCGCCAGACUGCACACGUAUCGUCCGUCAGUACGGUCGUAAACAUAUGUAACAGCUGCGUGCAUGGGCACGACGGAAGUGGUGUGGCGUGUCGUGUGGUCUGCUCACCUGCCGUCGAGGUAGGCAGGGGACUGGAGGCCGGGGAGCCAGGACCCCUUGGCCUGGACGGCGACGUCGCGGCGGGUGGACUUGGCGAGCCCGACGCGGCCGGAGUCGCCCAGGAACCGGGGGCUCGACGCUGACGCCGCCGGCCGGAGAGCGGCCACGGGAGCGCGGGCACUGACCGACGACAUCUUCUGCUACUCCUGACUAGAGAGCGCGUACGGCAGGAGAGUGAGAGUGCGCGCGUGUGUGUGUGGUGGUUCUGCCUCUCCGCACCUGCGCUUGGCCCUUUGUAUUGGGCUGCGCUUCGGUGAUUUGUGGGUGUGGUGAGCUGGGCCCCGGAGGUCGAGAUGGACGGCGUGUGUUGGCGCCACCGCGUCGUCCGACGGCUGCGAUGCGUUUGCGCCUG
RNAcentral lists this long non-coding RNA (27998 nucleotides) under Hordeum vulgare. RNAcentral's name for it is "long non-coding RNA (HVUL_LNC013252)". The record is from RNAcentral. Lineage: Eukaryota; Viridiplantae; Streptophyta; Magnoliopsida; Poales; Poaceae.